UACAGAGGUCCCAAGCGUUGUCCGGAAUUAUUGGGCGUAAAGAGCUCGUAGGCGGUUUGUUGCGUCGGCUGUGAAAUCCCGAGGCUCAACCUCGGGUCUGCAGUCGAUACGAGCAAACUAGAGUGUUGCAGGGGAGACUGGAAUUCCUGGUGUAGCGGUGAAAUGCGCAGAUAUCAGGAGGAACACCGGUGGCGAAGGCGGGUCUCUGGGCAACAACUGACGCUGAGGAGCGAAAGCGUGGGGAGCGAACAGG
RNAcentral lists this ribosomal RNA (253 nucleotides) under uncultured bacterium. RNAcentral describes it as "partial 16S ribosomal RNA". It matches the Rfam family "Bacterial small subunit ribosomal RNA", at positions 524 to 776 of the family's 1533-position model. The record is from RNAcentral.